AUUGAACGCUGGCGGCAUGCCUUACACAUGCAAGUCGAACGGCAGCGCGGACUUCGGUCUGGCGGCGAGUGGCGAACGGGUGAGUAAUGUAUCGGAACGUACCAUUCAGUGGGGGAUAACGCAGCGAAAGUUGCGCUAAUACCGCAUAUUCUGUGCGCAGGAAAGCAGGGGAUCGCAAGACCUUGUGCUGAUUGAGCGGCCGAUAUCAGAUUAGCUAGUUGGUGAGGUAAAGGCUCACCAAGGCGACGAUCUGUAGCGGGUCUGAGAGGAUGAUCCGCCACACUGGAACUGAGACACGGUCCAGACUCCUACGGGAGGCAGCAGUGGGGAAUUUGGACAAUGGGCGCAAGCCUGAUCCAGCCAUGCCGCGUGAGUGAAGAAGGCCUU
Molecule: ribosomal RNA, 387 nt
Filed under: uncultured bacterium
Lineage: Bacteria
Description: bacterial SSU rRNA
Rfam family: Bacterial small subunit ribosomal RNA
Source: RNAcentral